ACUCCUGCGGGAGGCAGCAGUGGGGAAUAUUGGACAAUGGGCGCAAGCCUGAUCCAGCCAUGCCGCGUGAGUGAUGAAGGCCCUAGGGUUGUAAAGCUCUUUCACCGGUGAAGAUAAUGACGGUAACCGGAGAAGAAGCCCCGGCUAACUUCGUGCCAGCAGCCGCGGUAAUACGAAGGGGGCUAGCGUUGUUCGGAUUUACUGGGCGUAAAGCGCACGUAGGCGGACUAUUAAGUCAGGGGUGAAAUCCCGGGGCUCAACCCCGGAACUGCCUUUGAUACUGGUAGUCUUGAGUUCGAGAGAGGUGAGUGGAAUUCCGAGUGUAGAGGUGAAAUUCGUAGAUAUUCGGAGGAACACCAGUGGCGAAGGCGGCUCACUGGCUCGAUACUGACGCUGAGGUGCGAAAGCGUGGGGAGCAAACAGGAUUAGAAACCCUAGUAGUCCCAUG
This 448-nucleotide ribosomal RNA is filed under the name uncultured organism. Its description in RNAcentral is "partial 16S ribosomal RNA". It matches the Rfam family "Bacterial small subunit ribosomal RNA", at positions 335 to 799 of the family's 1533-position model. The record is from RNAcentral.